GAGGUUGAUCUUCGCUCACAUUGGAGGCUGGCGGCAGGCCUAACGCAUGCUUGUCGAGCGGUGGAGAGGAGCUUGCUUCUCUUGAGAGCGGCGGACGGGUGAGUAAUGCCUAGGAAUCUGCCUAGUGGUGGGGGAUAACGUUCGGAAACGGACGCUAAUACCGCAUACGUCCUACGGGAGAAAGCGGGGGAUCUUCGGACCUCGCGCCAUCAGAUGAGCCUAGGUCGGAUUAGCUAGUUGGUGAGGUAAUGGCUCACCAAGGCGACGAUCCGUAACUGGUCUGAGAGGAUGAUCAGUCACACUGGAACUGAGACACGGUCCAGACUCCUACGGGAGGCAGCAGUGGGGAAUAUUGGACAAUGGGCGAAAGCCUGAUCCAGCCAUGCCGCGUGUGUGAAGAAGGUCUUCGGAUUGUAAAGCACUUUAAGUUGGGAGGAAGGGUUGUAGGUUAAUACUCUGCAAUUUUGACGUUACCGACAGAAUAAGCACCGGCUAACUCUGUGCCAGCAGCCGCGGUAAUACAGAGGGUGCAAGCGUUAAUCGGAAUUACUGGGCGUAAAGCGUGCGCAGGCGGUUUUGUAAGUCUGAUGUGAAAUCCCCGGGCUCAACCUGGGAAUUGCAUUGGAGACUGCAAGGCUAGAAUCUGGCAGAGGGGGGUAGAAUUCCACGUGUAGCAGUGAAAUGCGUAGAUAUAGGAAGGAACACCAGUGGCGAAGGCGACUACCUGGACUGAUACUGACACUGAGGUGCGAAAGCGUGGGGAGCAAACAGGAUUAGAUACCCUGGUAGUCCACGCCGUAAACGAUGUCGACUAGCC
This 817-nucleotide ribosomal RNA is filed under the name uncultured bacterium. RNAcentral's name for it is "bacterial SSU rRNA". It matches the Rfam family "Bacterial small subunit ribosomal RNA", at positions 9 to 821 of the family's 1533-position model. The record is from RNAcentral.